AACGAACGCUGGCGGCAUGCCUAACACAUGCAAGUCGAACGAGACCUUCGGGUCUAGUGGCGCACGGGUGCGUAACGCGUGGGAACCUGCCUUUAGGUUCGGAAUAACUCAGAGAAAUUUGAGCUAAUACCGGAUGAUGUCUUCGGACCAAAGAUUUAUCGCCUUUAGAUGGGCCCGCGUUGGAUUAGCUAGUUGGUGGGGUAAAGGCCUACCAAGGCGCCGAUCCAUAGCUGGUCUGAGAGGAUGAUCAGCCACACUGGGACUGAGACACGGCCCAGACUCCUACGGGAGGCAGCAGUGGGGAAUAUUGGACAAUGGGCGAAAGCCUGAUCCAGCAAUGCCGCGUGAGUGAUGAAGGCCUUAGGGUUGUAAAGCUCUUUUACCCGAGAUGAUAAUGACAGUAUCGGGAGAAUAAGCUCCGGCUAACUCCGUG
RNAcentral lists this ribosomal RNA (433 nucleotides) under uncultured bacterium. RNAcentral's name for it is "partial 16S ribosomal RNA". It matches the Rfam family "Bacterial small subunit ribosomal RNA", at positions 29 to 507 of the family's 1533-position model. The record is from RNAcentral.